RNAcentral lists this ribosomal RNA (385 nucleotides) under uncultured bacterium. RNAcentral's name for it is "bacterial SSU rRNA". It matches the Rfam family "Bacterial small subunit ribosomal RNA", at positions 29 to 416 of the family's 1533-position model. The record is from RNAcentral.
AUUGAACGCUGGCGGCAUGCUUUACACAUGCAAGUCGAACGGUAACGCGGGGGCAACCCUGGCGACGAGUGGCGAACGGGUGAGUAAUACAUCGGAACAUGUCCUGGAGUGGGGGAUAGCUCGGCGAAAGCCGGAUUAAUACCGCAUACGCUCUGAGGAGGAAAGCGGGGGACCUUCGGGCCUCGCGCUGCAGGAGUGGCCGAUGUCGGAUUAGCUAGUUGGUGGGGUAAAGGCCCACCAAGGCGACGAUCCGUAGCUGGUCUGAGAGGAUGAUCAGCCACACUGGGACUGAGACACGGCCCAGACUCCUACGGGAGGCAGCAGUGGGGAAUUUUGGACAAUGGGGCAACCCUGAUCCAGCCAUGCCGCGUGAGUGAAGAAGGCC